UUUUUUUUGUAUUUUG
Molecule: small RNA, 16 nt
Filed under: Arabidopsis thaliana (thale cress)
Lineage: Eukaryota; Viridiplantae; Streptophyta; Magnoliopsida; Brassicales; Brassicaceae
Description: ATSL236880
Source: RNAcentral